Molecule: ribosomal RNA, 857 nt
Filed under: Limosilactobacillus fermentum
Lineage: Bacteria; Bacillati; Bacillota; Bacilli; Lactobacillales; Lactobacillaceae
Description: bacterial SSU rRNA
Rfam family: Bacterial small subunit ribosomal RNA
Source: RNAcentral
UUUAUAUGCCCCCCCGCCACGCGGUAAUACGUAGGUGGCAAGCGUUAUCCGGAUUUAUUGGGCGUAAAGAGAGUGCAGGCGGUUUUCUAAGUCUGAUGUGAAAGCCUUCGGCUUAACCGGAGAAGUGCAUCGGAAACUGGAUAACUUGAGUGCAGAAGAGGGUAGUGGAACUCCAUGUGUAGCGGUGGAAUGCGUAGAUAUAUGGAAGAACACCAGUGGCGAAGGCGGCUACCUGGUCUGCAACUGACGCUGAGACUCGAAAGCAUGGGUAGCGAACAGGAUUAGAUACCCUGGUAGUCCAUGCCGUAAACGAUGAGUGCUAGGUGUUGGAGGGUUUCCGCCCUUCAGUGCCGGAGCUAACGCAUUAAGCACUCCGCCUGGGGAGUACGACCGCAAGGUUGAAACUCAAAGGAAUUGACGGGGGCCCGCACAAGCGGUGGAGCAUGUGGUUUAAUUCGAAGCUACGCGAAGAACCUUACCAGGUCUUGACAUCUUGCGCCAACCCUAGAGAUAGGGCGUUUCCUUCGGGAACGCAAUGACAGGUGGUGCAUGGUCGUCGUCAGCUCGUGUCGUGAGAUGUUGGGUUAAGUCCCGCAACGAGCGCAACCCUUGUUACUAGUUGCCAGCAUUAAGUUGGGCACUCUAGUGAGACUGCCGGUGACAAACCGGAGGAAGGUGGGGACGACGUCAGAUCAUCAUGCCCCUUAUGACCUGGGCUACACACGUGCUACAAUGGACGGUACAACGAGUCGCGAACUCGCGAGGGCAAGCAAAUCUCUUAAAACCGUUCUCAGUUCGGACUGCAGGCUGCAACUCGCCUGCACGAAGUCGGAAUCGCUAGUAUCGCGAUCCAACUC